This is a non-coding RNA of Taeniopygia guttata (zebra finch), 7734 nucleotides long. The record is from RefSeq and is a predicted model, not a curated record. NCBI's taxonomy places the organism in Eukaryota, Metazoa, Chordata, Aves, Passeriformes, Estrildidae.
CCCUGGGUCACGUGGGCGGGCGGCGCCGCCAUCUUGUCGCUCCCCCCUCAGGGGCAGUGGCGCAGCGCGUAAUGGCGGCGCGGCGGGAGGAGGGGUGGCCCAGUACACACCGGCCUCCCUCCCCGCCUGCCCCCAGAGCAGGCCCGGACACGCCAGCCUGCGGCUCUGUAGGGCUCAGACCAUCCCCUGUGCUUGCUGCCCUGUGAGCUGCUCCCCCCAGCACUCCGCUGCCUGCUGACACAGAGACUGGUAAAGCUGCUCCCUUGUAUUUGGGUCAGUAGAAGUACUGAUGAACGUGCUCGGGGGAUCAGAACAUGUCCAGGGAAGAGGACACGGGUUUGCUGUCCUUGAUCCACACACAGCAAUUAUCCCUCCAUUUCCCUCCUCCUCAGGCUCCUGCCUCUCCCAAGAAGAAAACCACAGGGAAGAUGCAUUCUCCAGAAGGAUGAUUCACCAUGGGAUGUAAAAACAAAGACAACUUUUCCACAGUACUCAUACAUUAAACAGCCCAUCUCUGCCUAGGUUUUUCCUGCCUGUAAAAUUGGAGCUCUAGAACCACAGUCUUCCUGAUGCAGAAAUUAAGCUCUAUGGGACAAGGUUUAAAUAAGACUUAAAAGAUUCAAAUAUCCACAAACAAGUCCUUGAAUGAGCAACACAUGCUCCUCACAGACAAACCACUCAAUUCUGUGAUGAUCUGGUCUUAAACAAAACAUUUACCAGUCCUCUGCUUUCACCUUCCAUAACACUUCUCCAGCCAGCUACAGCUCCAGAGUUAAAGAUUUAUUCCUGUAUUUCUUCCCCAGCUGCAUCUAUUUAUAUCAUCUAAAAGCUCACAGGUUUCUUCAUUGAGGCUUCCUGACAGUUAAAAGAAAAAGGUUUCUGUAUUUUUAAGAAGCUAUUACUGGAUGUUGGCCCAAAUUUUGGGUUUUUUUGAAAGCAAGUUUAAAGUAAUACUUUUAAUUCCUUUUCUUCUUACAACUUUGCAGACAAUUCUAAAAUCUAAGCAAUUCUGCAGUUCCCUUCAUUCAUAUGCACUAGAAAAUGGCAUUAAUCAAUCCUUUGCUAUUUUAGAAGUAUCACAGCAAUUUAAACCCUGAUCCUGCAGUCAGGAAAGUCAGUUCUUGGGAAAGUCAGUUUUCCCUCUGAGUUGCCAUCUGCACUAGGCAGGACUAUUCUCAGUUUCACUUUUAAUUCUCCCACAGCUGACUCAGCCACAAUUCCCUGGAGGAAGCUGAGCAGCUCAUGAGCACUUGAGUCAACACCAGAGUCCUCACAAGCUCUGCUCAUGUUAAACUCAACCAAAACUCCUCAAAAGCUGACACUGCCAGGCGCUUGGGCACUCGGUUCUUAAAUCCCAGCAAAUUCCCAAAUCUGGUAUUGCUUCACCUGCAGAGCCCCAUCUGGCAGGAGUUCUGAAAGACAUCAGGGAAAGCCCCCAAACUGCCAGAAAUGCGACUUUUGGAGUCUUGAGGAGCUUGCCUUAAGGAAGCCAAUAUCACCCACUGCCACCAAGCCAUGUAUGUAUGCUGUGAAGUCAGUGUGUUUAUGAAGUUAUAUCUGACUUUUAGAGUGUUUUUACCCAGUGCUGACAGACACUGACCUUGUGUACACAAGUUUCCUUUUCUGUAUUGAAACUAUCAACAGAUCCUAUGUUACUGACCAUCUUAACAAGCAGAUUUCUCAUUGUACACAGCUAUGGACUCACUUCUAAGGAAAGGAGGUAUUUUACUAAUGGUAAAGCAGCUCAGACAUCCAGAGUGUGAUAAAAAAUUGAUGCAAUUCUCAAGUCACAGUAGUGAAGACUUGUUUCUUGUUCUAUGCAGCUGCCUAUGAGGCUGACCCCAUACCUUAGUUUUGUGAGUCUUUCAUACUGUAAGAUGGCAGGGUAAUCAAAAUAUAAAUUUAACAUUGUCCAGCCACAAAUUAACAAAGGGAUUUGGACAACAGUGAAUAUCUCUCAUUAAUAUCAGAGAUCUGUCUUUAGCAGCAUAACUUCCACAUGCUCCAUCUGAUCAAUUCCCAAAUUUCUGUGGACAUUUUCGGCAUCAAAAGGCAGAGUGUUAUUCAAUGUGUGGGGCCAAUGGUUCCUCUCACUGGCAUUGCCAGUGUUUACUAAGCUGUGCCUGGACAGCAUUUGACAGAAUUCUUACAAAAUACUCCCCUAUGCUGAAACACUUUGUUCUAUCACUGCCUUUGCUGUGUACACCUCUAUCCUCAAUCUUAGCACAUAAUCCCUUUAACUGACGUGAAGAAUUAAAGGCAAUCUGAUUAAGAGCUGCUCUGUCCUUUGGCAGUGUGCUGCCACCCAAGCCUUGCUGGCUCCCCUUCCCUUGUCUCUCCAUGUUCCAGACUGGUAGGUGGAAUGCACACAAUUGAUUGGAGAGGGCUUAAUGAAGAGCAGAUUCAUGAUUAUUCUCCAAAGAGAUGCCUGAAGUUUGUUUUCAAGCUUCAAAGAAAUUUUCAUCUUGUCCUGAAAAACCACAAAAUACUGUUUACAGAAAGCAAGGACUCUUAGCUGAAAGGAGAGACAGAAUCAGGAAGUUUUAUAACUUAUGACUCUAGAACAGGGGUACACACAAAAGGUUUAGUCACUUCAAACAUAAACUAAUCCUUAUCUGAGGCAGCACUCAAAGCUUCUCUCUCUCUCUCUUUUUUUUCCUUUUCUUUCUUUACUGAAGUCCUGAGUGUAAAGUCCUUUACUGAAGUUUUUAUUUUCUGUAAUGGUUUAGUGACAAGAUCAGUAGUCACAGGCUUCUGUGGGAACUGAGGAAGUACAAGCACAGUUUUGUUCAUAUUUCUUGUUACAUGAAGAUCAGACACAGGGGAAAGUGAGGGCAUAAAUGUGGAUUCAGACUUUUAGAGGAUGGAAGAGAGAAUGUUUUUUGACUAAAAUGACCAAGGGUUGUUGUCCCAAGUGGAAGAAUGAAUGGAGAGAAUGUGGCAAUUCUCUGAACAUUGAAAAUUUCUGAGUUUGGCUCUAUUUUUUCAUAUCUCUAGAUUCCUUGCUAGCUUGAAUUUUAAAAACCUUAAUCAUUUUUAUUUCUCUGCAUUCAGAUUUCUCCAUCAUCCCCACUGGACUCCAAAUUAUGUUGCCUCUCUCUUUCACUCUCCAUGUUUAUGCACCACUUUGUCUCUCCAAAUGCUGUUUUACGUGUUCCAAUUAAAUUAAGGGCUUGCCUGCACAGGAAAGUUACAAUACUAUUAAUUUGCAGUUUGCUUUAAAGAAAUUAAGUUAAACCUGGGCAAAAGGCCAUGUGGACUCCCUGGUAUUCCUCUGCAGGAAUACAAAUGGGUUAUUUCAGGUUAGAUCAGGUCAAUUAGGAACAGGAAGAACUUGCAAAACAGUCAGUUUUUCUACAUCAGAAUGAAGAGAGUCCAGCAGCUCCUUCUGCAGAUUGUAACCUCCAAAUGGGAAGAAAGGCUGGGGGCAUGGUCUUGAUCUCUGCAGGAGCCACAAUCUGCUGGACACAGGUAGCACAACACCAGGUGACUGCUGCUGUCACUGCCCUGGCUCGGGCUGUGGAGCAGCUCUUGCCCAUUGCAGCCUUCUUCUUACCAGGACAGCCCAAUCCACAGCACUCACAGGACAGAAGUAGGGACUGCUGCCUCUGUGCAAGGUAUUUUCUUCCACUCUGUUCAUGUAGGCAUUAAAAACUGAGUCCUUUGCAAAAAAAAAAAAAAAAAAAAAAAAAAAAUUACCAUAUGAUGUUGUUUAAUACGGCAAAGUCAUGAGUAUCCAUCUACUGCCCCUCUUUGAAUGAAUGCCUGGAGUUAACUAUUGGUUUACAAGUAGAUUGUAAUUUUAUGAGUGUGCCUUUCUCUUGUAGGCAAGCCCAAAGAAGAGAAGAUGAAGACAAAAGAAGAGAAACUCACAGCAGCAAGAAGAAAGGAAAGAGGCACAUCACUAAAUCUUGGAUUCACAUUCUCAUUGUGAACUGGUUUGAACUAGUAAGCUCAUAAUUGCCUAAAUCAAAAUAGGCACCUAGUCAAGAUGGCUCCUACAUUAAUCAGCAUCAGUUAUACUUUGAAGGAGGCACUAAUGUUUCUCAUUUCAGUUUCUGUAAGCCUUUUCUAAUUACCAUUUCUAAAUACCAAGUGCAGCUUCUAUGUUAUGUAACAUAAAUGGUCUUUGGGAGAAAGGGGAAAGAAGGUCCCUCUUCCUGUUUUCCUUGCUGUUGCUGCAGUGUUGGUUCUGUCACUUGGCAGGGGAAGGAUCACCAGCAAGGGAAUGGGGGUGGUGUAGGAACCUGUAAUACAAAGGUUGGUGGCCUGAGUUAAUGUCACUAGGUUAGCAGGUCAUAAAGACCACAGGGCAUCGACCUGCUGUCUCUCAGGGCAUUCAGAUAUGGAAAAAACGCGAUUAGUCCCGAUGACUGCCAGAGCUGAGACAGGUGGAGAUACUGACAGUUCCAAAGAGCUACAAGAAGAUACCCAAACCCUGUGCAUAGUCACCAAUCCAAGAAUAACCCAGGACUUCAGAGCUGGCAUCCCUUGUGUUCUCUACGGCAUCACACAGAUCCUGGAUCCAUUACCUGGGCACAAACUUCAUAUUGCCUGGAUUUUUGGUUAAAUGGCUUAAACAUGCUGGCCUGGUGCCUGGUGGCUGCUCUUGUGAGUGUGAGAAUAGGAAUGUGGCUGAGUGAGACCUGUUUCUAGUUUUAUUUUAAAUUAAAUCACUUUUUCCCCUUCCCCCCUCAUCCCCACCUCUCCUAACAUUUUCUACCUUGUUUAUAUCAUGUUGGAGCAGUAUUUCCUAUAGAGGAACAAGGAGUAGUAAAGAGGAGCACCCAGAAGCAUAAUCUUUCAGAUGGCAGCAGAAAAAGAAUCUGCCAUCUGAAAGGCAGGUUUUAUUUAAAAAUUUACUGUCAGUAGAAAAUUCUCUCUUUUUCUAGAUGGGUCUUCAAAGGGCCACCCUGCUCCUCUUGCUGGCUUUGGUCAGCAGUGCAGGUCACACAGCUGGAGCUCUGGCCCACUCCCUUGUAGGAGACUUAGCUCAGGCUUCAAUGUGCACAUUGCAACCUUUCCACUUAAAUAAUUAAAGAUAAAGCAUUUUGGAGAUAUCUAGUCCAUCACACUGCCUUAAGACUAAAUAUAUCCAUCCACUCUGGGUGGAUGCUCAUCAGACUGGAUCUCCAGAAUACCAACUGCAUCCCCAAACUGGGGGAGGGCUCCCAACCCUGACUGGCCUCUCCUAAGGGGCUGUAACAUCACCACAGCCCCUUCUCCCCAGCUGUGAGGAAGGAGCCCCUGCUUCAUGCUGAGACUGAAAAGCUGCUUAGUGAGCCAAGGGCUCCCAGCUCCUUUCAGACACCCACAGACACGGGGGAGCUGUAACCCUCCCACCCCUUUCCAAGGCAGGCAGCUCAGUGCCUGCAGUGAGGUGGGAGCUGCUGCUGCCUCUCUGUGAGACAGCAGCUCCUGGUGGCUUCCCCACCGUCUAAAAGAUGGAAAAAUGCUGCUGUUCAGUGAGAAAUGGCUGCACAGCUUGUUGUAUGUCACCUCACUGUGGAGUAACUGAAGUCUCCAUAGUAAACAGGAAGAAUAGUUUAUUUCCUUCCUCUUUGCAGUUGCUUUUUAUGUAUGUGUGCUGCUAUUUUGCCCCUCUUCAGACUUUGCUUCUUGAGACUGAAUUGUUUUUCAUUAGGCCUUACAGUUUAUGUCUUCUGAACUUCUUGAAGAGCAGCAGUUCAGCAUUUAAAUUAACGUAGUGUUUAUGAAGUGAGCUGGACUGACAGGCAUGGAAAUGGAGACUUAUGUCUUCACAGAUUAGAUGCCACAGUGGUAGGAGGAGUGAGAACUCCAUACCUACCUUGUGAUCUGGGACAACUCUAGAGGCAAGAAUAGGAUGUAAUGAUGAAAUCCAUCAAAGUGGCUCAGGUUUCCUCUUUAAUCAGUAGCCUCCAGGCUGUUUCAGCCUGCUAGCAUUCAUUUGUGCCAAAUGUGGUGGUGGCUUUAUGAUAUGGACAAACCACUGCAUAGCAAGGAGCUGUGUUAACCAACUCAUUUCACAUAAACUGCUGGCCUUGUGGGGGCAGAGCAUUCAGGCAGGGUUCAUCUCUGGCCACAUGAAAGGUUCUCCAGCCGAGCCAGUCACCUCCAGCCCCUGAUAUAGCCACAGCAAGAAAAAGAUACUGAGGUGAUGAAUCAUCUCAUCCUAAGGUAGAUAUUUAAAAUAGAUCAGAUAAGACAUACCUUUAAAAUUGCCUACAGGGCAACAGGCUCAGGUGCAUUGAUAGACACAGUAGACAUCUAAAAUUAGGUGAGCCAAGUCUCUCUCACCUCUGGAGUCAAACCAGUGACACACAGGUCAAAGCCCCCACUUCCCAUGGUGAAACUUCAGCGCACAUCUUCUGCCUUUCUGAAUUUACAGCCACCUCCAAACAACCAGCUGAGAGAAUUAUGAGGGUCUUCCACCAAAUGGCUAAAUGUUUUCACUGAUUUUCAGAAACAAAAUUUAUUACAUUCUUCUUUUUUUUAGUCUAGUGCCUAAAUAGUCAUUUUCUAGAACAGGAAUAGUUGCUUUUUAACUUCCACUCAUGAAAAGCAAAUGCUUGGAUUAGGAAGCACAGAUAUUCAUCAUGGCUAUAAUAAUGAUAUUCUGCAGAGAGGAAUUUUUAUGUUGAUCCAUCUGAUACAGUUGAACUAUAAAGAUUUAUCUUGCAGAUUCUUUGGCAAACAGGAACUUCAAAACAAUGGUUUUUUUACUUCCACACCAUUUUCUCCCCCUUCUCUCAUUUUUGUUUUUUAGCUAAUAGUUCAUUAAUAAGGAAAAGGAUUCUUUUGAUACCAUAGCACAUCUGCUGACCCAUUUCAGUGCAAGUGCAUAUAUAACUACUUGUUUGUUUGCACUUCUACAGGUGUUGCUGCUGUGCAGAUAUGGGCUGUGGUUACAUUUCAUAAUGGAAAAUCUGACAGGCAGUUAACUAAUCCAUGAGUCAUAUUUCGUAAUAGCCUAAAGGUCUCUGAUGUUCGACCUUCAUUUGAUACCCUUGCCAUCAGGCAGUUUAUACAUAACCCAUCUGAAGAACAUUCUUUAUAUAGAUGACUGCAUGCUGCCCUUUUAUACCUGCAAGGAUGGGCAGUGCACUCACUGAGCCAGGGGAAUCUGCUCUGCCUCUCUGGAUGGGACUGAGAGCUGCACUGCACGGCCUCAGCUGGGGAAUGGGAGCAGCGGGAACCUCUCUGCUGAGCUUCAGCCUCCUGCAGGGCCGAGCUGAAAGGUGGGGACGGGGUGGGGAGUUGGUUUUGGACUCCACUCACCCCAACUGGACUUCUGAUUGGAACAAUCCAGUAAUGCAAGUAGCAGUGGCACUUCCAGCGCUAACAACUCUGCUGAUUUCACCUGUGUGUGGCUCACUUCUGCUUGAGGCAGGAGAGACAGAGAAUGAGACAUCUUUUUGUCAGACCAUCCCAAAUGGGAUCCAUCCAUUGCUGAUAGCAGGGUCCAGCCAGCAUUACCAAUGCCACAGUCCUAAAAGGAGCACCCAAAGUGGAGAAGGCUCACCUGGAGAAUCAUCCUCUUUAUUUUCUAGCCUAAGGGUGAAAAAGCAACACGGUGCUUACAAGGGGAUCAUAAUAUUGUUGGCUUUCAGGACUUCUCAAGUCUCACAGGCAGCAAAGGAUGUUGGCAUUGCUGCUGUUUUCGAAGCUAAAAUAAGGCAGACACAUGACUUCGGUAACUGCAUGUGAAGUUUACAUACUGUGACUCAUCGUAAUAAAGAAACCUAAACAAAA